This 22-nucleotide non-coding RNA is filed under the name Arabidopsis thaliana (thale cress). The record is from RNAcentral. Lineage: Eukaryota; Viridiplantae; Streptophyta; Magnoliopsida; Brassicales; Brassicaceae.
GAACCUACAUUCCUGUCCUGAG